GGAGUCGCUGCCACCUGCCGCCGCAUUGGAACCUUUUUCGACUGCUAAAAAGGUAAAAACUUCUCUUUUUGCUCAAAAUUCAAUUUUAAGCUCACCCAUGGCCAAAUCAAAGCAAAAAGAUCGGUCAAUUGGCUGGAAAACACCGACAAAGCUCGGCGGCACGGCCUAACAAAAUGUCUUUGAUGAGGCCCUUCCCGAUUAUCGUUCUGUGUAAUUUUUCUACCAUUAUGAUCACUGUGUCCUUCUCUAUAUGUUGACUAGAGCAAAACACCCAACCGCAACGUGAGCCGGAGGAGCCGCCGCACCGUAGAGCCCCGCCGCCGGUGAGUUUUGAUUUUUUUGUAUUUUUUGGGCUAACCGAGGCCCUUUAACGUGUUUUCUCGCAGGGAUCGAUGCAAAAUCGGUCAAAUUUGACUGAAACAGCCAAAACAACCGACCCGAGGCAUGUCAUCACCGCAGGCGGCGGCACCGUCGCCGUAACACGGUGGAGCUACCGUGCCGAAAUUUUGAAAUUGGCCAAGUGGGCCCCCGGACUGAUUUUGGGUUUGUUUGGGACAUUUAUAGGUAUUACUAACGCAUUUUAAUUUCUGAAAAAAAAAUUUAGGGAACCUGAGAAUCUCCCGUAGGCACAGUCGAACAGCUUAGCUUUUCGGACAUCAAAUCGAGUAAGGAUCCCUCACUCUAUUCUCUAUCAUAGAAUUGAAGUUUAAAUAAAUAAUAAUAUAGUAUUUUUUGCUAAUUUAAUAAAUGUGCAUAAUUAAUUACGGAUUACUAAUGUAGCUAAAAUCGAAAAUUAUUCUCUGUUGAUUUCUAUUGAUUUAUUUUACAGUUUAAAGGUAUGAUAGUAUCUGAUUUAUCAAUUUUAUGAUUUGAAUGCAUUUAUUGCUGUCUUACGUGAUCACUGUUUAGUUGAAAAAUUGAUAU
RNAcentral lists this long non-coding RNA (924 nucleotides) under Carica papaya (papaya). RNAcentral's name for it is "long non-coding RNA (CPAP_LNC006057)". Lineage: Eukaryota; Viridiplantae; Streptophyta; Magnoliopsida; Brassicales; Caricaceae. The record is from RNAcentral.